This is a non-coding RNA of Acanthosepion pharaonis, 109 nucleotides long. NCBI's taxonomy places the organism in Eukaryota, Metazoa, Mollusca, Cephalopoda, Sepiida, Sepiidae. The record is from the annotation of a GenBank genome assembly.
UUACGGUCAUAUCACGUGUAAACAUCGGUUCCCAUACAAUCACCUGAGUUAAGCAACGUCGAUCCUGGUCAGUACCUAGAUGAGUGACCGCUUGAGAAUACCAGGUGCU